RNAcentral lists this ribosomal RNA (554 nucleotides) under uncultured bacterium. Its description in RNAcentral is "partial 16S ribosomal RNA". It matches the Rfam family "Bacterial small subunit ribosomal RNA", at positions 355 to 900 of the family's 1533-position model. The record is from RNAcentral.
UAGGGAAUCUUCCACAAUGGACGCAAGUCUGAUGGAGCAACGCCGCGUGAGUGAAGAAGGUUUUCGGACCGUAAAGCUCUGUUGUUGGUGAAGAAGGAUAGAGGUAGUAACUGGCCCUUUAUUUGACGGUAAUCAACCAGAAAGUCACGGCUAACUACGUGCCAGCAGCCGCGGUAAUCGUAGGUGGCAAGCGUUGUCCGGAUUUAUUGGGCGUAAAGCGAGCGCAGGCGGAAGAAUAAGUCUGAUGUGAAGGCCCUCGGCUUAACCGAGGAAUUGCAUCGGAAACUGUUUUCUUGAGUGCAGAAGAGGAGAGUAGAACUCCAUGUGUAGCGGUGGAAUGCGUAGAUAUAUGGAAGAAUACCAGUGGCGAAGGCGGCUCUCUGGUCUGCAACUGACGCUGAGGCUCGAAAGCAUGGGUAGCGAACAGGAUUAGAUACCCUGGUAGUCCAUGCCGUAAACGAUGAGUGCUAAGUGUUGGGAGGCUUCCGCCUCUCAGUGCUGCAGCUAACGCAUUAAGCACUCCGCCUGGGGGAGUACGACCGCAAGGUUGAAAC